GACGAACGCUGGCGGCGUGCCUAAUACAUGCAAGUCGAACGCUGAAGGAGGAGCUUGCUUCUCUGGAUGAGUUGCGAACGUGUGAGUAACGCGUAGGUAACCUGCCUGGUAGCGGGGGAUAACUAUUGGAAACGAUAGCUAAUACCUCAUAAGAGUAGAUGUUGCAUGACAUUUUCUUAAAAGGUGCAAUUGCAUCACUACCAGAUGGACCUGCGUUGUAUUAGCUAGUUGGUGAGGUAACGGCUCACCAAGGCGACGAUACAUAGACGACCUGAGAGGGUGAUCGGCCAAACUGGGACUGAGACACGGCCCAGACUCCUAAGGGAGGCAGCAGUAGGGAAUCUUCGGAAAUGGACGGAAGUCUGAACGAGCAACGCCGCGGGAGUGAAGAAGGGUGUCGGAUCGGAAAGCUAUGUUGUAAGAGAAGAACGAGUGUGAGAGUGGAAAGUUCACACUGUGACGGUAGCUUACCAGAAAGGGACGGCUAACUACGUG
RNAcentral lists this ribosomal RNA (495 nucleotides) under uncultured bacterium. Its description in RNAcentral is "partial 16S ribosomal RNA". It matches the Rfam family "Bacterial small subunit ribosomal RNA", at positions 28 to 507 of the family's 1533-position model. The record is from RNAcentral.